This 120-nucleotide small nucleolar RNA is filed under the name Sciurus vulgaris (Eurasian red squirrel). RNAcentral describes it as "Small nucleolar RNA SNORA70 (ENSSVLG00005005164.1)". It matches the Rfam family "Small nucleolar RNA SNORA70". From Rfam's summary of the family: snoRNA U70 seems to be exclusive to mammals and is a member of the H/ACA class of snoRNA which contain H (ANANNA) and ACA box motifs. H/ACA box snoRNAs are involved in the conversion of uridines to pseudouridines (5-ribosyluracil) a constituent of structural RNAs (transfer, ribosomal, small nuclear, and small nucleolar). Lineage: Eukaryota; Metazoa; Chordata; Mammalia; Rodentia; Sciuridae. The record is from Rfam by way of RNAcentral.
GUACAAUUAAGCCCACUGCUCCUUUCUCAGAGUGCAAUGGCUGCAAACAGCAGCUUCCUUGGUAGUUAUGCCACAGCCUGUUACUUGUAUGGGUUGCCCUCAAGUACCUUUCCAAUGAGC